UGGGGAAUAUUGGUCAAUGGGCGGAAGCCUGAACCAGCCAUGCCGCGUGAAGGAAGAAGGUCCUAUGGAUUUUAAACUUCUUUUGUCGGAGAGCAAUAAGGGUCUCGCGAGAUCCGAUGAGAGUAUCCGACGAAUAAGCAUCGGCUAACUCCGUGCCAGCAGCCGCGGUAAUACGGAAGGUCCGGGCGUUAUCCGGAUUUAUUGGGUUUAAAGGGAGCGUAGGCCGGAGAUUAAGCGUGUUGUGAAAUGUAGUGGCUCAACCUCUGCACUGCAGCGCGAACUGGUCUUCUUGAGUACGCACAACGUGGGCGGAAUUCGUGGUGUAGCGGUGAAAUGCUUAGAUAUCACGAAGAACUCCGAUUGCGAAGGCAGCUCACGGGAGCGCAACUGACGCUGAAGCUCGAAAGUGCGGGUAUCGAACAGGAUUAGAUACCCUGGUAGU
RNAcentral lists this ribosomal RNA (442 nucleotides) under uncultured Prevotella sp. Its description in RNAcentral is "bacterial SSU rRNA". It matches the Rfam family "Bacterial small subunit ribosomal RNA", at positions 355 to 794 of the family's 1533-position model. The record is from RNAcentral. Lineage: Bacteria; Pseudomonadati; Bacteroidota; Bacteroidia; Bacteroidales; Prevotellaceae.